RNAcentral lists this non-coding RNA (264 nucleotides) under Paenibacillus ferrarius. Its description in RNAcentral is "T-box sequence". It matches the Rfam family "T-box leader". From Rfam's summary of the family: Uncharged tRNA acts as the effector for transcription antitermination of genes in the T-box leader family. T-boxes are found upstream of many aminoacyl-tRNA synthetase genes and some amino acid biosynthetic genes usually in Gram-positive bacteria. The anticodon of a specific tRNA base pairs to a specifier sequence within the T-box motif, and the NCCA acceptor tail of the tRNA base pairs to a conserved bulge in the T-box antiterminator hairpin. Lineage: Bacteria; Bacillati; Bacillota; Bacilli; Caryophanales; Paenibacillaceae. The record is from RNAcentral.
UCAAAUGCAAUGAAGAGAAGAGUAGAUAGAUGAAUUCUUUCACAGAGAGCUCCGUUCGCUGAAAAGGAGCAAGAAUCCGUUAUUGAACAAAGACUCAGAGCAGCACAUCGGAACUCCGUCAAACAGGGGGAUGGUGUGACAGGAGCUCCUGUUACAGAGCUAAAGUAUAAGCAUUACAUGUAAUGCCGUACUUGAAGAGGCUAAUAUGGCGACAUAUCGGCGAAUCUGGGGUGGUACCACGAGUUCAACAAUCUCGUCCCUAAG